CGGUCCGACGGUGGAACCCACUCGGGGGCCGCGGGGCAGGAGGGCGAAUGGCUUCCACGCUCGGGGCUCAGGGGCUGGAGGAGAGGAAGCCUGAGGAGGAGGAGGAGGAAGGCCGGCGCAGGGUGACUGAUGCUGACCCAAGCCCCAGGAAGCCUCCGCUCUCCCUAGGGCGGGAAAGCAGCUUUGGGGGGUGUCAGGCCACACCCCUGUGAUGGAAACCCGUGUGGGGGGCCCCGACGCUGGGAUCAGGGAGCCCAAAGUGGCCAAGGUGUCGGGGCUCGCAGGGUUUGCUAGGGUCGGCAAGGCUGGAGGGGGCGGGGGGGAGUUUGCUGGGAGGGAGAGGAAAAAACUGCUCUCUAAACUCAGGCAGCAAAGUCCUGGCGCGCAAAUGGCUUUUCACUUCUCGAAGCUCGAGGCUCGCUACUGUGAACAAACCUUGAGGUUCGAAACAGCUGCAAAUAAUCAAUUUGGGAAAAGUCCUUUCACAAGCUGUUCCAGUAUUGAUAGUUUUUUGAGGCCAUUAUCUACCUCUGGAUAA
RNAcentral lists this long non-coding RNA (538 nucleotides) under Dasypus novemcinctus (nine-banded armadillo). Its description in RNAcentral is "lncRNA (ENSDNOG00000052464.1)". The record is from RNAcentral. Lineage: Eukaryota; Metazoa; Chordata; Mammalia; Cingulata; Dasypodidae.